Acanthaster planci (crown-of-thorns starfish) is the source of this 2215-nucleotide long non-coding RNA. The record is from RefSeq and is a predicted model, not a curated record. NCBI's taxonomy places the organism in Eukaryota, Metazoa, Echinodermata, Asteroidea, Valvatida, Acanthasteridae.
GGAAGGACACAAGGAGUUCGAACGAAGUGGACAUCAAAAGUUCAGACUGUCUUGCCACGGUCGUAAAACAACUGGGGGGGAAGACCGCAAGUCCAUUAUCUAAAUCUAAUUAUCACGACGAAGGCCAUCCCAGCCUUUACCGUGUUGCAUUAUGGGUGUACAACUGCGCAUGCUCAGUUUACCAAAUCCAUUUCAACAUGGCGGCGUACGGCAAAGAAGAUUUCGUUUAUGGUUCGGACUUGAGCGAUUUGAGCGAUUUUUCUGAAGAUGAUUUGAACGUGAAUGAGUUAUCCGACAUCAGCAACGACUCUGAAGACGAUGGUCGUCAGUACUGUGUUUGUAAUGAAGCGUCCACAUCAGAAAUGAUCGCUUGCGAUGACGACCAGUGCACCGUUGUUUGGUGGCAUUACGAUUGUGCUGGCCUCAGCAGAGAAACAAUCCCGGAGCAUUCGUGGAUUUGUAAUCGUUGUCGGCCAGCAAGCUCAACUAAAAAAUCUGAUGUAGCUUCUGUCAGUAUGGAAGAUGUCCCAGAAUCCAAUGCGAGUACCAGUACCGGAGUGGCAUCAGUUUCAAAAGGAAAGAUGUCCGAUUCCAAGGCACACAAAGAGAAAGUCAAGAAAGCUGGGAGAAUAGGUAAACUAACCCUUCAUAAUAAUAGAACCACACUUUUAUAGUUCAUUAUGAGCGAGUUAUGUGGAUGUGUGUUGUGAAAAUGACUGAAUCAACACUUUCAAAUAUUACAAUUCUUAUUUUUAACUUCUCAGCUGUCAAACGACCAAAGUCCAAGUUCUCUGCUGGAGAUGCUCACAAAAAAGCCACCACAUACGUAGUUGCAGCUCUGGAUGAAAUGAAAGAACAUCAACUGUUUAAGUCUGCUACUUAUCCAAUAGCACUGUGUGUCAUGAGUUUACUUGUAAGCUUGACUGAAGUGACAAGUUCGGAAGAAUUUAAAAACUUCAGUUUAUCUACAGUAACUUCGCUGUGGUUGGUUGUCACUGCUGGAGAUGCAAAACUGUUGAAACCAGAGGCAUAUGAUGCCAUGUGGAAAGCUUUUCAUCAGUACCGUUUGAAAAGUGUAAACACAUGGAUCAGUUUUCUGAAAUCGCUCAACAUAAGCCACAAUGGACAAUUUGCUGAAAUCUGUUAUCAGUAUUUAUUGCAGUCUAUUCUGUAUUUGAUUAUCAAAGACAAAAACACAGCCGAUCUUCCAGAAAAAGAAAACACUCCCGAAAUGAAACCCAUAACUCCCGAAGAAGAACAAGUACUGAGAUAUGUUGCUGGUUACAUACCCUAUAGUCUAGACCAGAAAUUGAAAAAACAGCAGAAUGAAACUGCACAGACAUUUUGCAAAUUUUUAAGAACUUGGCAAGUUUGUGUCACAAAUACAGCACAAACAUUUUUGCAGUAUACAAAUGAAUGGAUUGUCACUCAAAAUCGAGGGGGGUUGUUCCAUGUUUCUGAUGGGAUUUAUCUUUUAAUUCGUAGUAUGGAACUUGUAAGUAGGAAGUUUUGAACACAGACGACAUACACAAUUUCAGUGGUGUAGACAUCCAGAGUAUUUUAUGUAAAAACAUUUUGUCAAACAAACCAGUGCAAAACUAUUGGUGUAGCAUAACGCAAGGUAAAAUAAAUGGAGAAAUUUCAGAAAAAUUGUUAGAGAUUGUUGUGUUCAAGUGGAUUAAAAUACGAACUAAAGCUUUCAUAAAUGUAUAUCUGAAUCUUAAAAAGGCAACUAACGGAAAGGUUUCUAAGAAGGCAGAAAGGCACUUCGCAAAGAUCUGGCAAAAGAGUGAAAAUCUACGUGGACGCGCCAACUUGGAAUUUUAAAAGAAAUUGUCAUGCACUCAACUGUCAAAUUUGUUUUCCAAGUUUCUAAACACUUCACAUUUAGAUCAAUUUGUUGUUUUGACACUGGUAAAACUGACUAAAUUCGCAAUUUCAAAAGAAUACAGAACAUUUUUUAACUUGUUGAACCUUCCCUGCAUUAAGAUUUAAAGGAAAUAUAAGCUCAUACAUGUACAAUCAUGUAACAAAAUUUAGAAAAUGCCAGCCAACGAAAAAGUGUGCACUUCCAACAUCAAUAAUGUCCAUGUAAUAUCUCUGAAAAUUUGAAAUACAUAUACAUGUAUUUGUCAAAACUAUAUAUGAUAAUGUACAGUUUUUACAUAAAGCUUAGUUUCAUUGAGGUAAAUAUAUUAUGCCAACCAAGUCUCAA